Aedes aegypti (yellow fever mosquito) is the source of this 738-nucleotide long non-coding RNA. RefSeq lists it as uncharacterized. NCBI's taxonomy places the organism in Eukaryota, Metazoa, Arthropoda, Insecta, Diptera, Culicidae. The record is from RefSeq and is a predicted model, not a curated record. The transcript is spliced from 3 exons.
CUAAAUGUCUUCUUCCUCACCUCGGUAUAUAUUCUCAUUGCAGUAGGAUCAAGAUAUUUUGAAGGGAGGUAUGGCGAUCUAAGCAGUCAGUGGAUGCGGGGAGUGGAGGGUGAAAAUUGACAGAUGGCCAGUCGGCUAGCUGGCGAAUUUGUUGAUGUGUUUUUCCCCUCUAGUGGUUGCUAUCGUUUCCUCAAAGUUGUUUAUUAUUGAUCGUUGUUGUUUGAAAGCGAGAAAAAAUUUUCAAAGCGUUUGCAAAAUAACAUAAACUUAAUCAAACUAAAAGGAAAAUCAACCACCUUGUUUUAACUGACGUUCUCUCCAGGCGACCGGCUAGGAGAACCACGUGAGCGUUGAAUGGAGCAAGUUACCAGUAGGUAAACCAGUAGAUGGCAUGCGAUGGAGACAAGUUGUUUUCUGAAAUUUCACGCAAAGAAAGCUUAUCAUACCAGGCGAAGACAGAUAGAUAGCAAUGUAACAUGGCUCGAUGAAAAUGUCGAAUGUAUUCUACGCUAGUUUUCUCUAAAAACGUGUGGCUUCGGGAGAAAACAAACGGGCAAUCACAGAGUUCGCCGUUCUGAAUAACGACUCUGAUGAUGAAGAGAAGGCAGCAUCUCUAUUACCAUCAACUAGCAGCUUGGUUAUUAGUUAAGGUUCUACCAGUGCCUGAAGUUAUCCUAGGUCAGUGUCAUUCAAUUCGCAAUAUUUUCCCGUAUCGCAUUUAUUGAUCAAUAAAUGAAU